RNAcentral lists this ribosomal RNA (497 nucleotides) under uncultured bacterium. Its description in RNAcentral is "partial 16S ribosomal RNA". It matches the Rfam family "Bacterial small subunit ribosomal RNA", at positions 28 to 507 of the family's 1533-position model. The record is from RNAcentral.
GAUGAACGCUGGCGGCGUGCCUAAUACAUGCAAGCCGAGCGAACAGACGAGGAGCUUGCUCCUCUGACGUUAGCGGCGGACGGGUGAGUAACACGUGGAUAACCUACCUAUAAGACUGGGAUAACUUCGGGAAACUGGAGCUAAUACCGGAUAAUAUAUUGAACCGCAUGGUUCAAUAGUGAAAGAUGGUUUUGCUGUGACUUAUAGAUGGAUCCGCGCCGCAUUAGCUAGUUGGUAAGGUAACGGCUUACCAAGGCAACGAUGCGUAGACGACCUGAAAGAAAGAUCGACCACAGAGGAACUGAGUCAGGAGCCAGACUACUACGGUACGCAGCGUCAAGCAAUCUGCCGCAAUAAGCGAAAGCCUGACCGAGCAGCGGCGAGAAAGUGAUGAAGGUCUUCGGAUCAUGAAACUCUGUUAGUAUGGAGAAACGAAUGUAUAAUGAGCUAAACGCUUCUUGACGAUUCCUAAUCAGAAAGCCACGGCUAACUACGUG